Long non-coding RNA from Lotus japonicus, 368 nucleotides. RefSeq lists it as uncharacterized. NCBI's taxonomy places the organism in Eukaryota, Viridiplantae, Streptophyta, Magnoliopsida, Fabales, Fabaceae. The transcript is spliced from 2 exons. The record is from RefSeq and is a predicted model, not a curated record.
GUUAUGGAAUCAAAGAAGGCACAAUUGUUAAGAAGGUUAAAAAGAGCAAAGGGUUGAAGAGUGUGAAGCUUUUGCCGAAAAUAGCAGCGCACAGGUGCUGAAAAAAUUGUCAAAUGUACCGUCCAAAGUUUGUGCAGCAAAAGAUGUGAGGGAUUUCUAUAAUUUGUUGGCUAAAUGAUUUGUCAAUCAAGAUCAUGGUGGAAGAAUGGAUAUUAGAUGUGGCAGACAUGUGAAAUAAUGAUGAAAAGUUUGAAAUGAUGUGGUCACCUUUUGCUUGAUAAUCUACUAUACUAGCUCUUUAAAGUUUUAAUCCCAAAAUUGUUUCCAUAUUAUUGAGAAGAAUGAAUUUAAGGCUGGCUCUAUUAUUA